This 490-nucleotide unclassified non-coding RNA is filed under the name Hevea brasiliensis (rubber tree). Lineage: Eukaryota; Viridiplantae; Streptophyta; Magnoliopsida; Malpighiales; Euphorbiaceae. The record is from RNAcentral.
UGGAUCCACGCUUGGACUAUCACGGAUGGGAUAAUUACACAGCUUCGAGAAUAUUUCAAUACCUCCCUAACUGUGACUCGUCUCGGAGAUUCAACUGACUCUCCGUCGUCCUCCGCCGCAUCGGAGAUUUCCUCUGCCUCCUCGUUGCAUCAUUGCCCUUCCGUUUGGGAAAGUACUCUCUCCAAUCAGGUCGGAAAAUCGGUGCCUGGGCUCGUCUUGGCCAUUUAAUCAAAUCUUUCUGACUCUGAUUCUGAUUCACUACAGCCGAUUGUAUUGUAACUAAAUAAACAGAGAGAUGUGAGAAACUUGUGAGUGGAUGUGUGCUGGUUUGGUUUGGUUUGGUUUGUUGUGCUUAUUUACCGUUUUGUGUGAGGGUUUGAUACUGUGUGUGGUAGAGUUGGGUGAAUACCAUGGAGAUGAGAAGCCAUUGGUCAAUUCCCGAUGUGUUUGCACUGUUUUUAAUAAGGACAUGUUCCAAUGUUUGUGUUAA